UGACGACUCCACCCACGAUGAGGCUAUAUGGAAAAACAACUAAACCGAGACGAGCCGAGAUAGGACACGCCCCUUUAAGCUGCGUGCUACAGCGAGGCUAAGCUAGUGGGGGAAAAGUUUCAGUGCAUUCCGUUGAUGUAGACAGCAUGAAAAUGGAAACAAGUAUGCCGGCUCACUGUGCUGCAUACAAUUGCACACUGCGUCGUACGAUUGAGACAAGGAAACUUGGAAUGACUUUUCAUAGGUUUCCCAGAGACUAUGGGUUGAGGAGGAAGUGGAAUUUUGUCGGCUUAGACUUGGUGUCAUUCCAUCAGUGUUAAACUUCCCGACUCGUCUUGGAAGAGUACGUGCCAGAAAGACCACGACCAAGCAGCCUUGAGAUCUUAGGCAGCGUCUCCCUGAGACCAAAGAACUACAGACUUCACAACCUGCUCAAACUCUUGGUACAGGACCUCACCACACGGGUCAAGAAGGUUUCUGUCUCAUUUCUACUCUGAAGCUCACCUUCUCCUGCUCAAACUGCUGACAAAUGUUUCUGCUGCUCUAAAGUCUGGUCUCCAGAACUUCCUAAAAACUCUCAAAGUCUCUUCUGCUGCAGGUUGCUUUGUAGAACUGUUACAGAAAACCUCACUAAACCACGUGGAGGGGCCUCAAGAUAGUCGUCCAAAUGAAACCGAACAAAAACCAAACUAGCACAACCCAAACACUAAAGUCUCCUGCAGCCUACCAGAGAACCUCUGAGAACAGAGAAUCAGGACAGGAACUCUUACCUUCUGGACAACCAACGUUGGUUCUCAAACAAGAAUACAGAAUGUGUCUGACCAAAAACCUCUGAAGACUCACUACAGCCAAGAUAAAGACACAACUCAGCUGCACCAAAUCCACUAAUCACUGCACACAUUAGCACCAUGUGCUAACUGUGGCUAAAGAACCGCAUUUACCAAGACAACUAUCCAGUACAAAGCCCUAAAACACACCAAGAAACACAUUAAAGACGAUUUUACUGCUGGAAGCUGCAAGCCAACGCCUAAAGAACAAACUAGAGAAACGGAGCCAAACCCGGUUCAGUGGUGAAUAGAAGCAGAGGAAAUGUUUGUCUGCAGCUAAAUAAAGCAGGAAGACACUGAGCUGCUCAGGUGUUCCUGAUAACACCAAGCAGCCACCUGGGCAGCCAAUAGGAACACAGCUUACUGGAAGUCCAGAGGGCUGGCUUAGUGAAGGAAAUUUAAUUUAAAGUUGAAGCAGAAAGUUAACAAAGAAAGUUGAAAACCACCUUCUGAUACCUGAAAUCUCUGAGUUUUCACUGCAGCCUUCAACUGGCUCCUGCUGACAAAGUGUUUUAACAGAAAUGUAAAUGCUGUAAUUUGAUUCUUUUAAUGAACCAUGUAACUUGAAUGGAUGUGAUGCUGGUGUGACCACAGUGCACACAU
This is a long non-coding RNA of Amphiprion ocellaris (clown anemonefish), 1430 nucleotides long. The record is from Ensembl. Lineage: Eukaryota; Metazoa; Chordata; Actinopteri; Pomacentridae.